Molecule: ribosomal RNA, 525 nt
Filed under: uncultured bacterium
Lineage: Bacteria
Description: bacterial SSU rRNA
Rfam family: Bacterial small subunit ribosomal RNA
Source: RNAcentral
UAGUCCACGCCCUAAACGAUGGAUACUAGUCGUCGGAAUACCUAAUAGUUUCGGUGACGUAGCUAACGCAUUAAGUAUCCCGCCUGGGGAUUACGGUCGCAAGAUUAAAACUCAAAGGAAUUGACGGGGGCCCGCACAAGCGGUGGAGCAUGUGGUUUAAUUCGAUGCUACGCGAAGAACCUUACCUGGGCUUGACAUCCCGGGCUACCCUGGGAAACCAGGGGUUCCCUUUGGGACCCGGUGACAGGUGCUGCAUGGCUGUCGUCAGCUCGUGUUGUGAGAUGUUGGGUUAAGUCCCGCAACGAGCGCAACCCUCGUCGCUAGUUACCAGCAUUAAGUUGGGCACUCUAGCGAGACCGCUUGGCUAUAAGCCAGAGGAAGGUGGGGAUGACGUCAAGUCCUCAUGGCCUUUAUGUCCAGGGGCUACACACGUGCUACAAUGGGGGUAGAUAAAGCGCAGCCAACUCGCGAGAGUGCGCUAAUCGCAAAAACUGACCCCUCAGUUCGGGAUUGGGAGUCUGCAAC